CUGCAGGAAAGCGGUAGCUACACAGAGAUGUUAUUGGAAACCCAUGGCUUUUCUCGAAAACAGGUUUAACUGGUUUUCUGAUUAUGCUGACAUGGGGUCAGUGCCUCUAAACUUUAACAGAACUGUUGGAAUCCUACAUUAAUCAGUAACAGAAAGUACACAAAGUGUCUUGACAUUGGGGAGGUGAAUAAACCGUUCCCAAGGUUUCUCAACACAAAGGAAAUUCUCACUAAUUUGACAUGUUCUGGUUUUGAAUUCAGGCUGCAAGGGGUCAGUGCUCGAAAAUGAGUCUCUCUGGGGAGAGAGAGGAGGGGGGCCCUGCCUCUAAAAUGACUCUCUCGGGCGAACAUGACCCCGAAGCUAAGAGACCAAUCAAGCAGGAGAGACCAGCCUCCCCUGUACUCAGUUGUGUGUCCAUGAAGAGUGACCGGUCUAUGUAUCUUCCUAUAUACUUUAGAGAGGGAGACUUUUCUACUGAACAAA
Salmo salar (Atlantic salmon) is the source of this 483-nucleotide non-coding RNA. The record is from RefSeq and is a predicted model, not a curated record. NCBI's taxonomy places the organism in Eukaryota, Metazoa, Chordata, Actinopteri, Salmoniformes, Salmonidae.